Hydra vulgaris (swiftwater hydra) is the source of this 301-nucleotide non-coding RNA. Lineage: Eukaryota; Metazoa; Cnidaria; Hydrozoa; Anthoathecata; Hydridae. The record is from RefSeq and is a predicted model, not a curated record.
AAUCGCAAUAACUUAGUUUGUAUGUGUUGAUAUCAUUUUGAACCUAAUGUACUAAAUAUGUAUUUAUUUUUAUUAAGAAUUGUAAAGGAAAUCGUUUUGAGCCUGACGAAUCUGAAUAUUUUUUAAAAGUAAAGAAGCGGCAAAUUGCGAGUAUAUUUGCUAAAAUUCAUAAAGUGUUGAAGUUACCACAGAGUACUCGUUGGGAACGACCCCAACUUUCAAAUAAGCGAAAUCGUCAUUUAAAAGAAAUGGGUGUUAAUAUUUCUUUUUCAAAGUUGAUUUUGUAAUAUACAAUUAAGUA